RNAcentral lists this long non-coding RNA (453 nucleotides) under Nicotiana tabacum (common tobacco). RNAcentral describes it as "long non-coding RNA (NTAB_LNC015888)". The record is from RNAcentral. Lineage: Eukaryota; Viridiplantae; Streptophyta; Magnoliopsida; Solanales; Solanaceae.
GCCAUUUCCGAACUGACAAUUGUUCUUUGUUUGAGAAGAUGAAACAGGUAUAAUCCAAGACAACCGUGCAAGAAGCAGGUGUCACCCGAAGAAGAAUGUACAUGAGUACAAGAAACAGUUCGGCAACAAGGAAUCCACUCGAAAGGUAAGUUUCCACAAAAUUCUCUUUUACCUUUUACUAAAACAAGAAAAUUCAAAAAAAGGGUGUCGGUUAGUAUCCUCGAACUUUUUCCCUUUGAUCAGGAUUAGGGUUUUAAGCCCUAAACUGAACUCUUUCCGUCAGUCAGCAUUAGGGUUUUAAACCCUAAACUGAACUCUUUUACCUUUAGUCAGCAUUAGGGUUUUAAACCCUAAACUGAACUUUUUCCUUUAGUCAGCAUUAGGGUUUUAAACCCUAAACUGAACUUUUUCCUUUAGUCAGCAUUAGGGUUUUAAACCCUAAACUGAACUUUU